Balaenoptera ricei (Rice's whale) is the source of this 1459-nucleotide long non-coding RNA. RefSeq lists it as uncharacterized. The record is from RefSeq and is a predicted model, not a curated record. Lineage: Eukaryota; Metazoa; Chordata; Mammalia; Artiodactyla; Balaenopteridae. The transcript is spliced from 3 exons.
GUGUCCGUCCUGGGCUAUGGGAGCCUGCGGGCUCCGAGCCGGGCACCGGGCGGGACAGGGCAGCGCUGGGAGUGGCCUGGGAGUGGGGGCGGAGGAACGGUGGGCCGACUGGAUCUAUGCUGAAGACGAAGAGUGCUGGCUGACAGGCAGGGUGCCCUCCAGGCCAGAGGCCCCUAGAGACCCCCAGCUCUGAAAGUGUGAGAGGAGGAGCCACCAGGGAGUUGGGGGGUCUUUUGAGCACGAGCUGCCUGGACUCCUUGCUCGGUGCCUGCAAUAAACCCUGCACCUGCCUUCACCACAACGCGUGUCAGCAGACUGGCUUCGCUGUGCGUGGGUGAGCGGACCCAAGUUUGGUUUGGUAACAAUUUCGGCGACCUGGCUGGAGCGGAAGUCCCGAGUGGGCACCUUGCCCACGGCACAUCGGCCCUAGGGUGGUCCGCGGGGUGCUCCAGCAGAUCCGUGUUUCAUGGAACAGGCGAUGCACCAGGAUCCCAGUGCCAGUGAGGAAGAUGACAGCCCUGUUGCCAGUGAACCCGAAGGAGUCUGCAGAAAAGGGGGUGCCCCGGGCUGGGGGCCGCCCACCCCCACCCGUCUGCAGGAGGAGCCCUCGAAGCUUUGGCGGGACGGGAGUGGCUUGAGGCCCUGGUCACACGACCUCAUCAGUCACCGGCAUGGGGUUUUCAUGGGGGCCACCCGCAGGGACCCCUGCCGCCUCCUCCUCACUCGGCUUCUUGCGGGCCUCGGCCGGGGGCCGGGGCGGGGGGUUGCUGGGUGGCUGCUUGAUGGUGCCCCCCACCUGCGGCCGCUCCUUGGGCUUGGUCUCGAUGGGGGUCCACUUCUCCCCGCGGAUAGCCGCCUGCAGGACACGGAGGGGCUGGGCUGGGGAUCCUCCCGGGCCGCCCCCGCCCCGCCAUACCGCCUCCCCGCCCCUGUGCUCCCCCACCCCCGCCAGGAGCCAGGACACGACCGAAUUCAGUGAGACCUGAGGGGACUGGAGCUCAGAGAGGUUAUUUGAUGGGCCUGAGGCCACACAGUCAGAUCCCAGCUAUUUCACCACAACACAAGGGGCCCCACAAGGGCGAGGGGUGCUGAACCCCGGGGCUCCUGGAAGAUCCCCUGGAGGCAGCUUCCAGGUGCACAGCCUUCCUCCCAGGGACUAAGGGCCAGGAGCAGGACAGGAGCCCAGGCCCCAGUGGCCAUGAUGCUGAACUGAGGCCGGCAGCUCUGGGUGACGGGGGUGGGGAGAGGCCCAGGAGGGUGGCCAGGGAGGCCAGGGGCCCAGGUGUGUUGAGGAGGAAGAGUGCACGGCCCAGGGAAUUUGCUGAAACGCAGACUCCAGGGCCACAGGCCAAGUGGACCUAAGAACGUGUAUCUUUCAUUUUGUAUCCCCUAAUACAUUAGUUGAUAAAAAAAAAAUGUGACAGCAUAUACUUUAUGAAGCAUAAGAAUAAAGUGAAUU